Molecule: non-coding RNA, 107 nt
Organism: Ailuropoda melanoleuca (giant panda)
Lineage: Eukaryota; Metazoa; Chordata; Mammalia; Carnivora; Ursidae
Source: Rfam
GUCUACGGCCAUACCACCCUGAACGCUCCCAAUCCCGUCUGAUCUCGGAAGCUAAGCAGGGUGGGGCCUGGUUAGUACUUGGAUGGGAGUUUUGACUAUUCUUGACC